RNAcentral lists this ribosomal RNA (630 nucleotides) under uncultured Alphaproteobacteria bacterium. RNAcentral's name for it is "bacterial SSU rRNA". It matches the Rfam family "Bacterial small subunit ribosomal RNA", at positions 55 to 714 of the family's 1533-position model. Lineage: Bacteria; Pseudomonadati; Pseudomonadota; Alphaproteobacteria. The record is from RNAcentral.
AUGCAGUCGAACGCUUACGAGGGUUUCGGCCCUUGUGGGAGUGGCGCACGGGUGAGUAGCGCGUGGGAACCUGCCCCUUUGUGGGGGAUAACCGAGGGAAACUUCGGCUAAUACCGCAUGCGCCCGGAGUGAUCCGGGGAAAGAUUUAUCGUAGAGGGAGGGGCCCGCGUCGGAUUAGCUGGUUGGUGGGGUAACGGCCUACCAAGGCGAUGAUCCGUAGCUGGUCUGAGAGGAUGAUCAGCCACACUGGGACUGAGACACGGCCCAGACUCCUACGGGAGGCAGCAGUGGGGAAUAUUGGACAAUGGGCGCAAGCCUGAUCCAGCAAUGCCGCGUGAGUGAUGAAGGCCUUAGGGUUGUAAAGCUCUUUCGGCGGGGACGAUGAUGACGGUACCCGCAGAAGAAGCCCCGGCUAACUUCGUGCCAGCAGCCGCGGUAAUACGAAGGGGGCGAGCGUUGUUCGGAUUUACUGGGCGUAAAGGGCGCGUAGGCGGCUCCUCAAGUCAGGCGUGAAAGCCCCGGGCUCAACCUGGGAACAGCGCUUGGGACUGGAGGGCUCGAGUUCGGGAGAGGAGAGUGGAAUUCCCAGUGUAGAGGUGAAAUUCGUAGAUAUUGGGAAGAACACCGGUG